GAAAAAUGCGUUUAGACGUUGCCCAAACCCUUGUGAGAAUUUUCCAUCUUUUUCCGGAAAUUAUUUUCCUUUUCCUAGAGUUAAAUCUAAUUUUUAGAAGGCUCUAGAAUCCUUUUCAUGAGCUCCAAGUAUUUUAUUUGGAUUCCUUGCAUCCCAAUCCAUCUCUGAGAUUUAUCUCAGAUUUUUCGGAAUUUUCUAGGUAUUUUUCUCGCUUUAGAAAACGAGUCCAGC
RNAcentral lists this long non-coding RNA (231 nucleotides) under Setaria italica (foxtail millet). RNAcentral describes it as "long non-coding RNA (SITA_LNC005895)". Lineage: Eukaryota; Viridiplantae; Streptophyta; Magnoliopsida; Poales; Poaceae. The record is from RNAcentral.